AGCAGCCGCGGUAAUUCCAGCUCCAAUAGCGUAUAUUAAAGUUGUUGCAGUUAAAAAGCUCGUAGUUGAAUUUCGGGAUCAAUACGUUGGUCGUGCCUUGGUACGUACUGGCAUUAUCGAUUCCUACCUUCUGAAGAACCUCGAUGUCAUUAAUUUGGUGUCUUGGGGAAUCAGGACUGUUACUUUGAAAAAAUUAGAGUGUUUAAAGCAGGCUCGCGCUUGAAUACAUUAGCAUGGAAUAAUGAAAUAGGACGUUUGAUUCUAUUUUGUUGGUUUCUAGGAUCGACGUAAUGAUUAAUAGGGAUAGUUGGGGGCAUUAGUAUUCAAUUGUCAGAGGUGAAAUUCUUGGAUUUAUUGAAGACUAACUACUGCGAAAGCAUUUGCCAAGGAUGUUUUCAUUAAUCAAGAACGAAAGUUAGGGGAUCGAAGACGAUCAGAUACCGUCGUAGUCUUAACCAUAAACUAUG
This 467-nucleotide ribosomal RNA is filed under the name uncultured Glomus. RNAcentral's name for it is "SSU rRNA". It matches the Rfam family "Eukaryotic small subunit ribosomal RNA", at positions 569 to 1041 of the family's 1831-position model. The record is from RNAcentral. Lineage: Eukaryota; Fungi; Glomeromycota; Glomeromycetes; Glomerales; Glomeraceae.